AUACGGAAGGUCCGGGCGUUAUCCGGAUUUAUUGGGUUUAAAGGGAGCGCAGGCGGAGAUGCAAGCGUGACGUCAAAUUUCGGGGCUCAACCCCGUCUCGCGUCGCGAACUGCGUCCCUUGGUUGCGGGAAGGGGAGACGGAACUCGUGGUGUAGCGGUGAAAUGCAUAGAUAUCACGAAGAACUCCGAUCGCGAAGGCAGCCUUCCGGCCCGUCAACGACGCUCAUGCUCGAAGGUGCGGGUAUCAAACAGGAUUAGAUACCCUGGUAGUCCGCACAGUAAACGAUGGACACCCGCGGUUUGGCCUAUAUGGCUGAGCCGCCAAGCGAAAGCGUUAAGUGUCCCACCUGGGGAGUACGCCGGCAACGGUGAAACUCAAAUGAAUUGGCGGGG
RNAcentral lists this ribosomal RNA (393 nucleotides) under uncultured bacterium. Its description in RNAcentral is "partial 16S ribosomal RNA". It matches the Rfam family "Bacterial small subunit ribosomal RNA", at positions 523 to 918 of the family's 1533-position model. The record is from RNAcentral.